This 175-nucleotide unclassified non-coding RNA is filed under the name uncultured Ascomycota. Its description in RNAcentral is "sequence contains ITS1". The record is from RNAcentral. Lineage: Eukaryota; Fungi; Ascomycota.
CCGAGUGCGGGCCCUCUGGGUCCAACCUCCCACCCGUGUUUAUUGUACCUUGUUGCUUCGGCGGGCCCGCCGUUCUUGGCCGCCGGGGGGCAUUUGCCCCCGGGCCCGCGCCCGCCGAAGACACCCCCGAACUCUGUCUGAAGAUUGUAGUCUGAGUGGAAUGAUAAAUCAAUCA